UCGCGCCUCCACCCGCCACCCUCACCCCCGACGACGAGGACGACGACGAGGAGCCGCCUAUCGAGAUCAUCCUGACGCCCACCGCCUCCACCUCCUCCCCCUCCUCCUCCCGAUUACCAAUCCCAAACCGCAACACCCCCAAUCACACCGGAGGCAAAUCAAAUCGGCCCCGGGCUUAAAGGUGGGUGCGAUGGGAGAGAAAGAGAGAAAGAAAGAAGGCGGCGGUGCGGCGGUGGUGGUGGUGGGAGGAGGAAGGAGAGAAGAGAAAGGAAAAGAGAGAGAGAGGUUAGCUUUUCUUUUGGGGCGUAGUUGGGGUUGGGUGUACUACUUAUUUGGUGCGGGAGAGAGGUGAUUAGCGAGUGGAUUAGACAUGGGAGGGGGGGAGUGGUGUCGUGGUGAGGUGUGGUGUGGUGUGGUGUUCGCCUCGCCUUUUGAUCGUUUCGGUUUGGCGUGGAAUUUUUGGCAGUGAGGCGGGUGAGCGUCGCGCGGCGGUAGGCAGGGCCAGGCAAAGGCGUCGUCGCUGUUGAGUGCGCGACGCCUUCGCCUUGGCCUUGGCCCUGGCCCUUCCUUUGAUCCUUUCCCCCGCGAGCGUGCCACGGCGUUGGGCGUUGGCACCGCGGUGUAAGGGGUGGUAAUUUGCAGUUGAG
RNAcentral lists this long non-coding RNA (647 nucleotides) under Oryza brachyantha (malo sina). RNAcentral's name for it is "long non-coding RNA (OBRA_LNC000061)". Lineage: Eukaryota; Viridiplantae; Streptophyta; Magnoliopsida; Poales; Poaceae. The record is from RNAcentral.